CCCUUAGAUGUUCUGGGCCGCACGCGUGCUACACUGAGUGGAUCAGCGGGUCAGGUUGCGCGAAAGCGUUUCCUAAUCUUUAAAUCCGCUCGUGAUGGGGAUUGACGGUUGCAAUUUUCUGUCAUGAACGAGGAAUACCUUGUAAGCGCGGGUCAUCAUCCCGCGCUGAAUACGUCCCUGCCCUUUGUACACACCGCCCGUCGCUCCUACCGAUUGAGUGGUCCGGUGAGGCUUUGGGAUCUGAGCGGAAAGAGCGUUUCGCCGUUUCUGCUCGGAAAACUCAGUCGAACCUUAUCAUUUAGAGGAAGGAGAAGUCGUAACA
RNAcentral lists this ribosomal RNA (322 nucleotides) under uncultured eukaryote. RNAcentral's name for it is "partial 18S ribosomal RNA". It matches the Rfam family "Eukaryotic small subunit ribosomal RNA", at positions 1470 to 1796 of the family's 1831-position model. The record is from RNAcentral.